Molecule: small RNA, 78 nt
Filed under: Leishmania major strain Friedlin
Lineage: Eukaryota; Euglenozoa; Kinetoplastea; Trypanosomatida; Trypanosomatidae
Description: Leishmania major c/D snoRNA
Source: RNAcentral
ACGCGUGAUGGCAUUGCGAUUUAAUUAUACACCCGAGGCGCGCACAGCGCCGUGGACGAGAACCGGAGUGACUGACUG